ACUCCUACGGGAGGCAGCAGUGGGGAAUAUUGCGCAAUGGGCGAAAGCCUGAUGCAGCGACGCCGCGUGCGGGAUGAAGGCCUUCGGGUUGUAAACCGCUUUCAGCAGGGACGAAGGGUUUCUGACGGUACCUGCAGAAGAAGCACCGGCUAACUACGUGCCAGCAGCCGCGGUAAU
This 177-nucleotide ribosomal RNA is filed under the name uncultured bacterium. RNAcentral's name for it is "partial 16S ribosomal RNA". It matches the Rfam family "Bacterial small subunit ribosomal RNA", at positions 335 to 524 of the family's 1533-position model. The record is from RNAcentral.